GACGAACGCUGGCGGCGUGCCUAAUACAUGCAAGUUGAGCGCUGAAGGUUGGUACUUGUACCAACUGGAUGAGCAGCGAACGGGUGAGUAACGCGUGGGGAAUCUGCCUUUGAGCGGGGGACAACAUUUGGAAACGAAUGCUAAUACCGCAUAAAAACUUUAAACACAAGUUUUAAGUUUGAAAGAUGCAAUUGCAUCACUCAAAGAUGAUCCCGCGUUGUAUUAGCUAGUUGGUGAGGUAAAGGCUCACCAAGGCGAUGAUACAUAGCCGACCUGAGAGGGUGAUCGGCCACAUUGGGACUGAGACACGGCCCAAACUCCUACGGGAGGCAGCAGUAGGGAAUCUUCGGCAAUGGACGAAAGUCUGACCGAGCAACGCCGCGUGAGGGAAGAAGGGUGUCGGAUCGUAAAACUCGGUUGGUAGAGAAGAACGUUGGUGAGAGUGGAAAGCUCAUCAAGUGACGGUAACUACCCAGAAAGGGACGGCUAACUACGUG
Molecule: ribosomal RNA, 497 nt
Filed under: uncultured bacterium
Lineage: Bacteria
Description: partial 16S ribosomal RNA
Rfam family: Bacterial small subunit ribosomal RNA
Source: RNAcentral